Molecule: transfer RNA, 61 nt
Filed under: Mus musculus (house mouse)
Lineage: Eukaryota; Metazoa; Chordata; Mammalia; Rodentia; Muridae
Rfam family: tRNA
About the family: Transfer RNA (tRNA) molecules are approximately 80 nucleotides in length. Their secondary structure includes four short double-helical elements and three loops (D, anti-codon, and T loops).
Source: Rfam by way of RNAcentral
UGUAGCUCAGUGGUAGAGUGUUUGCAUGAGAUGCACCAGAUCCUGGGUUCGGUUCCCAGCA